UACGGAGGGUGCAAACGUUGCUCGGAAUCAUUGGGCGUAAAGCGCGCGUAGGCGGCUUUGUAAGUUAGAGGUGAAAGCCCGAGGCUCAACCUCGGAACUGCCUUCGAUACUGCGGGUCUCGAGUCCGGGAGAGGUGAGUGGAAUUCCUAGUGUAGAGGUGAAAUUCGUAGAUAUUAGGAAGAACACCAGUGGCGAAGGCGGCUCACUGGCCCGGUACUGACGCUGAGGCGCGAAAGCGUGGGGAUCAAACAGG
This 253-nucleotide ribosomal RNA is filed under the name uncultured bacterium. RNAcentral describes it as "partial 16S ribosomal RNA". It matches the Rfam family "Bacterial small subunit ribosomal RNA", at positions 524 to 776 of the family's 1533-position model. The record is from RNAcentral.